GACGAACGCUGGCGGCGUGCUUAAUACAUGCAAGUCGAACGGAAAGGCCCUGCUUUUGUGGGGUGCUCGAGUGGCGAACGGGUGAGUAACACGUGAGUAACCUGCCCUUGACUUUGGGAUAACUUCAGGAAACUGGGGCUAAUACCGGAUAGGAGCUCCUGCUGCAUGGUGGGGGUUGGAAAGUUUCGGCGGUUGGGGAUGGACUCGCGGCUUAUCAGCUUGUUGGUGGGGUAGUGGCUUACCAAGGCUUUGACGGGUAGCCGGCCUGAGAGGGUGACCGGCCACAUUGGGCCUGAGAUACGGCCCAGACUCCUACGGGACGCAGCAGUGGGGAAUAUUGCACAAUGGGCGGAAGCCUGAUGCAGCAACGCCGCGUGCGGGAUGACGGCCUUCGGGUUGUAAACCGCUUUCGCCUGUGACGAAGCGUGAUUGACGGUAAUGGGUAAAGAAGCACCGGCUAACUACGUG
RNAcentral lists this ribosomal RNA (468 nucleotides) under uncultured bacterium. Its description in RNAcentral is "partial 16S ribosomal RNA". It matches the Rfam family "Bacterial small subunit ribosomal RNA", at positions 28 to 507 of the family's 1533-position model. The record is from RNAcentral.